AGAGUAAAGUGGCGCACGGGUGAGUAUCGCGUGGGUAAUCUACCCCUGGAUUCAGGAUAACACUUCGAAAGGGGUGCUAAUACUGGAUAAUAUCCUGAUGGUUUAGGCCAUAAGGAUCAAAGAUAGCCUCUACAUGUAAGCUAUUGUACAGGGAUGAGCCCGCGUACCAUUAGCUAGUUGGUGGGGUAAGGGCCUACCAAGGCAACGAUGGUUAGCUGGUCUGAGAGGAUGAUCAGCCACACUGGAACUGAAACACGGUCCAGACUCCUACGGGAGGCAGCAGUGAGGAAUUUUGCGCAAUGGGGGAAACCCUGACGCAGCAACGCCGCGUGAGUGAAGAAGGCUUUCGGGUCGUAAAGCUCUGUCAAGAGGGAAGAAAGUGGAAGGUGGUAAUACUGUUUUCUAUUGACGGUACCUCUGAAGGAAGCACCGGCUAACUCCGUGCCAGCAGCCGCGGUAAUACGGGGGGUGCAAGCGUUAUUCGGAUUUAUUGGGCGUAAAGAGCGCGUAGGCGGUUUAUCAAGUCAGAUGUGAAAGCCCUGGGCUCAACCUGGGAAGUGCAUUUGAAACUAGUAGACUUGAGUAUGGGAGAGGGGAGUGGAAUUCCUGGUGUAGAGGUGAAAUUCGUAGAUAUCAGGAGGAACACCGGUGGCGAAGGCGACUUCCUGGACCAAUACUGACGCUGAGGCGCGAAGGCGUGGGGAGCAAACAGGAUUAGAUACCCUGGUAGUCCACGCAGUAAACGGUGAUCACUAGGUGUAGCGGGUAUUGACCC
This 775-nucleotide ribosomal RNA is filed under the name uncultured Desulfobacterium sp. Its description in RNAcentral is "bacterial SSU rRNA". It matches the Rfam family "Bacterial small subunit ribosomal RNA", at positions 87 to 838 of the family's 1533-position model. Lineage: Bacteria; Pseudomonadati; Thermodesulfobacteriota; Desulfobacteria; Desulfobacterales; Desulfobacteriaceae. The record is from RNAcentral.